CGUAUAUUAAAAUUGUUGCAGUUAAAAAGCUCGUAGUUGAAUUUCUGCUGCAUUGCUUGUGUCCCUCUGGGGUCUGUGCAUGUGGCUUUUUUCGGACGGAGUUUCUUUGUCUGAAUGUUUACUUUGAGAAAAUUAGAGUGCUCAAAGCAGGCUUUCGCCUUGAAUAGUUUAGCAUGGAAUAAUAAAGUAGGACUUUGGUUCUAUUUUGUUGGUUUUAGGUACCAAAGUAAUGGUUAAUAGGAACAGUUGGGGGCAUUCGUAUUUAACUGUCAGAGGUGAAAUUCUU
Molecule: ribosomal RNA, 286 nt
Filed under: Theileria annulata
Lineage: Eukaryota; Apicomplexa; Aconoidasida; Piroplasmida; Theileriidae
Description: partial 18S ribosomal RNA
Rfam family: Eukaryotic small subunit ribosomal RNA
Source: RNAcentral